Molecule: long non-coding RNA, 967 nt
Organism: Panicum virgatum (switchgrass)
Lineage: Eukaryota; Viridiplantae; Streptophyta; Magnoliopsida; Poales; Poaceae
Exons: 2
Source: RefSeq, a predicted model, not a curated record
CAUCACGAAACCCAUUGCUUUAAACCUUGGGCAUGGCUUCAUGGUUUGUUUCAUAAAUCAAUGUGUACUAGGUGAUACAGGAGAACAACCAUGGUGGUAUACGUUCAAUCGCCAAGUUGGCAUAUAUAAUAUAAUCCAAAUAUCCAAUGAUUUUCGCUAAACAACUCCUGUGUGAAGCCAUGGUGGCUUUGAGAUUUCUCCUACAUACUGUCGCAACGAGAUUGGUCCAACAUAAACCUACUCGAUUGUUCAACUAAUUAAAAUUCUAAUAUUGAUGGUCUCCUCCAUGCCGUAAUGGCAAUCAUUAAUCCAGCCACAAGCAUGUGGGGUGACGCCGACGCGUCGCUGGCCCGCCUGGCCGUGUCGAUGGAGCUGGUAGGAUCAUUUCCUUUUUGUACGCGUCAUGGCUGAUUAUCCUCGAGAGCUAGUCUCUCCGAUAUCGUCGUUACUACCUUCUCUUCUCCUCUCCUCUGCUUCCUCCUCCUUCACCAUAUAAACUGGGCUAUACACUGCACACUGCCAUGUGCGUGCAUGGUGCUUAUUAGUUGUGAGGUGGUCUCAUCAAGUAGUUGCCAAGAAAAGUUGCUCGCGGAUGGCGAUGCCACGGGAGACGGCGGUGUCCAUCGCGCACAACGUGUUCUUGCUGCUCGAUGGCUGGGUCUGUACGUGCGUCCUCGCCGCCGACGAGGCCGCACGCCUCCUCCGGUCGGCCACUCACUGAUCGUUCAACUAUCAAGUGGUAGGUGAUGUUUCCGUAGACAGCGAGACGUCUAUGGUGACUUCGUCAAUCUCGAGGAUUUGUCGGCUCAGUCUUAUUCAUAGGAGUAAGAUUUACGUGCAUGCGUUUAUAAGGAUGAGUGUGCGUGCGUUGUGAGUAUUUGGGUUGUACCAUGUAAUAAAAAAACAUAACAACUCAUGAGCUUCUUCCCCUUUUGGACAACAUGCAAGUCAUGUUUAUUUGUUGGCA